UUAUAGAGUUUUCUAAACUCCCAACCCAUGUGAACUUACCUUUUGUUGCCUCGGCAGAAGUUAUAGGUCUUCUUAUAGCUGCUGCCGGUGGACCAUUAAACUCUUGUUAUUUUAUGUAAUCUGAGCGUCUUAUUUUAAUAAGUCAAAACUUUCAACAACGGAUCUCUUGGUUCUGGCAUCGAUGAAGAACGCAGCGAAAUGCGAUAAGUAAUGUGAAUUGCAGAAUUCAGUGAAUCAUCGAAUCUUUGAACGCACAUUGCGCCCAUUAGUAUUCUAGUGGGCAUGCCUGUUCGAGCGUCAUUUCAACCCUUAAGCCUAGCUUAGUGUUGGGAAUCUACUUCUCUUAGGAGUUGUAGUUCCUGAAAUACAACGGCGGAUUUGUAGUAUCCUCUGAGCGUAGUAAUUUUUUUCUCGCUUUUGUUAGGUGCUAUAACUCCCAGCCGCUAAACCCCCAAUUUUUUGUGGUU
RNAcentral lists this ribosomal RNA (467 nucleotides) under Pestalotiopsis longiseta. Its description in RNAcentral is "eukaryotic LSU rRNA". The stretch from base 147 to 300 matches the Rfam family "5.8S ribosomal RNA". Lineage: Eukaryota; Fungi; Ascomycota; Sordariomycetes; Amphisphaeriales; Sporocadaceae. The record is from RNAcentral.